UGCCAGCCGCCGCGGUAAUACGGGGGGAGCAAGCGUUGUCCGGAAUUACUGGGCGUAAAGGGCGUGUAGGCGGCCUAAUCAGUCAGAUGUGAAAGCCCACGGCUUAACCGUGGAACUGCAUUUGAUACUAUUAUGCUUGAGUUCGAGAUGGGGUAGUGGAAUUCCCAGUGUAGCGGUGAAAUGCGUAGAUAUUGGGAAGAACACCAGUAGCGAAGGCGGCUACCUGGCUCGUAACUGACGCUAAUGCGCGAAAGCGCGGGGAGCAAACAGGAUUAGAUA
This 279-nucleotide ribosomal RNA is filed under the name uncultured bacterium. RNAcentral's name for it is "partial 16S ribosomal RNA". It matches the Rfam family "Bacterial small subunit ribosomal RNA", at positions 506 to 784 of the family's 1533-position model. The record is from RNAcentral.